This 450-nucleotide ribosomal RNA is filed under the name uncultured bacterium. RNAcentral describes it as "partial 16S ribosomal RNA". It matches the Rfam family "Bacterial small subunit ribosomal RNA", at positions 354 to 796 of the family's 1533-position model. The record is from RNAcentral.
GUGGGGAAUAUUGCGCAAUGGGCGAAAGCCUGACGCAGCGACGCCGCGUGAGGGAUGAAGGUUUUCGGAUCGUAAACCUCUGUCAGAAGGGAAGAAACUACAUUGUGCUAAUCAGCAGUGUACUGACGGUACCUUCAAAGGAAGCACCGGCUAACUCCGUGCCAGCAGUCGCGGUAAUACGGAGGGUGCAAGCGUUAAUCGGAAUUACUGGGCGUAAAGCGCACGUAGGCUGUAGUGUAAGUCAGGGGUGAAAUCCCACGGCUCAACCGUGGAACUGCCUUUGAUACUGCACAACUUGAAUCCGGGAGAGGGUGGUGGAAUUCCAGGUGUAGGAGUGAAAUCCGUAGAUAUCUGGAGGAACAUCAGUGGCGAAGGCGGCCACCUGGACCGGUAUUGACGCUGAGGUGCGAAAGCGUGGGGAGCAAACAGGAUUAGAAACCCCUGUAGUCC